UUUUUGCAACUCAAAUCAGAUUAGGGUUUCACUCUCUCUCUCUCUUCCUACCAAUGGCACCUCAUUCCCAUUUUCCUCUUUAGAGCGAAAUUCCAAUCUUUUCUUCCCAAGAGCAGAACUUUUUUAUUCUAUUUUAUGCAAUGUCACUUUCUCUCUCUGAAUCUCUUUAUUUCCAAGUCAGAGAGCAUGAAACCAUGCCUAUAUUUUAAAAUUGAAUCUUAUGGCAGAGGAUCUUUUGGAGGAAAAGUUCUGAUUUCGCUCGAAAGAGGAGUGUAGAUCCGAGGUCUGCGACCUCCCUAGUUCAUUGCCCGCAAAAAGAGAAACAAAAAGUCUCAAUGCGAGACUCAACGCUGUCGCCACCACGAUCACCUGGAGUCUAUUAGCAUCAUGUUAUCCUCGGAUCGCUGCAUAUAAAUUGCAGCCCAAUAAAAAUUCAUCUGAACAAUACUAUAUUUCAUUUUGUUAAAUGUUCUGAUCUAUUGUGUAAUCUGGUAUCUAUUUAUAAUAUUUGGGAGUCGUCUUAAAAUUGAACGA
This is a long non-coding RNA of Nicotiana attenuata, 534 nucleotides long. RefSeq lists it as uncharacterized. The record is from RefSeq and is a predicted model, not a curated record. The transcript is spliced from 3 exons. Lineage: Eukaryota; Viridiplantae; Streptophyta; Magnoliopsida; Solanales; Solanaceae.